AGGAAAAUGAAAAUAAACAAAGGGGUAGUACAGAAAAUAUCUGUAAUGCCACAUUCUUCCCCCCAGGAUGAAACAACCCAUGGUUGUUAGGAGAAAGGAAUUAAAACCCUAAGAAUUCCUCCUCAUCUGAGGUUUCUUGAAAGAGGUCCCGAAGUGUUUUCUUUGCUUGGUCCUCCAACUGCUCAGCUGUGGGAAAACACAUUUUAAGAUUGCACACAUGUGCAGUGCGCACAUCUUCUCCAGUUGCCUCCAAUGCAAUGCGGUAAUUCAAAGGUCCAAGUGACUUCAGAACCCGUUCCGGAGUUGACGAUGUUGGGCUUUUCUGCUACUCUCCUUAACCUGAGAUUGCAGUUGUUGUAUGUGAGAGAUUACGUCAUAGGAGGUGGUGUCAGGAGUAAGAUUUGGACCGUGCAGAAUUUUAUCCAUUGGCCCUCUCAGUUUUCUUCCAAGCUGCAAUUCUGCUGGGGUUACUCCAGUGGUUUCCUGGAUGGCAGAGUUAAUGGCGAAUCUCAUCUCUGAUGAGAUGAACUGGGUGCCUCUAUCAGAAAGAAUGAAGUCUGGAACUCCCCAACGAGUUAAGAUUUCUUUUCUGAAAAUUGUUGCAAUACUUUGAGCGGUGGCAUGACGCAUAGGAAAAAACUCAACCCA
Long non-coding RNA from Onychostoma macrolepis, 648 nucleotides. RefSeq lists it as uncharacterized. NCBI's taxonomy places the organism in Eukaryota, Metazoa, Chordata, Actinopteri, Cypriniformes, Cyprinidae. The transcript has 3 exons. The record is from RefSeq and is a predicted model, not a curated record.